AAGAUGGCAGCAUCUGCAUUUCAGGAUGCAGGAGGAAGGAAGGAUGAAGAAGAAGAAACAACACAUCCUGUAUUACGUCUUAAGGAGCUGGACUGCUCAUUUUUUUGAGGAACCCCUCUGAGAGAGGAACAGUUUGGGCCACUGGACUCCAGAGUAGGCUGCAGUGCAGGAUCUGUGGGCUUGGAUCCGUCCUCAAUUACAAGGAUGGCUAUUCUCUCUUCGGCGCCUACUGUGUACAGUAUAUGGAGAUGCUCCAACCUCAGCAUUUUGUUUAAUAAUGGGUCAUUGUUCAUCUGCCCUGGAGAUAAAGAACCUGGGACUCUGAGAAGUGAACCAUGUUGAUCAAGGUCACAAAGUCAGAAUGGAGCAGAUCCAGGAUUUGGACCCAGACCCCGCAAAAUUUCUCAUCUCUCUGUACAAGCUGCCUGUAUGAGGAUUGUCCCUCUGACUGGCUGAGACUAAGAAGUCAACUAAAAGAACAUUACACCCAAGUGUGGAGUUUUGGAACAUU
This is a long non-coding RNA of Mustela erminea (ermine), 511 nucleotides long. RefSeq lists it as uncharacterized. The transcript is spliced from 3 exons. The record is from RefSeq and is a predicted model, not a curated record. Lineage: Eukaryota; Metazoa; Chordata; Mammalia; Carnivora; Mustelidae.